Molecule: long non-coding RNA, 2632 nt
Filed under: Volvox carteri
Lineage: Eukaryota; Viridiplantae; Chlorophyta; Chlorophyceae; Chlamydomonadales; Volvocaceae
Description: long non-coding RNA (VCAR_LNC002320)
Source: RNAcentral
UCUAAUUGCGUGCGCGUAUGGAUGCUCCUUUCGCCGGCUUUCCAGCAACUAGUUGAUGUUAUGAUGCAUCGUUGGUCCGGCGUACGAUGGCGCCUGGUGCGAUGUAUGCGUCCGGAAGCCCUUUCAGCCUCCAGGCAUGUCCCCACCUGCCUCACAGCCACCGACGCAUCUCACGGCGGGGUUCCAAUUGCGUGCGCGUAUGGAUGCUCCUUUCCCCGCCGCCUUUCUAGCAACUAGUUGAUGUUAUGAUGCAUCGUUCUUCCGGUGUACGACGGCGCCUGAUGCGAUUUAUGCGUCCGGAAGCCCUUUCAGCCUCCAGGCAUGUCCCCACCUGCCUCACAGCCACCGACGCAUCUCACGGCGGGGGUCUAAUUGCGUGCGCGUAUGGAUGCUCCUUUCCCCGCUGCCUUUCCAGCAACUAGUUGAUGUUAUGAUGCAUCGUUGGUCCGGCGUACGAUGGCGUCUGAUGCGAUUUAUGCGUCCGGAAGCCCUUUCAGCCUCCAGGCAUGUCCCCACCUGCCUCACAGCCACCGACGCAUCUCACGGCGGGGUUCCAAUUGCGUGCGCGUAUGGAUGCUCCUUUCGCCGCCGCCUUUCUAGCAACUAGUUGAUGUUAUGAUGCAUCGUUGGUCCGGCGUACGAUGGCGUCUGAUGCGAUGUAUGCGUCCGGAAGCCCUUUCAGCCUCCAGGCAUGUCCCCACCUGCCUCACAGCCACCGACGCAUCUCACGGCGGGGUUCCAAUUGCGUGCGCGUAUGGAUGAUCCUUUCCUGCCGCCUUUCUAGCAACUAGUUGAUGUUAUGAUGCAUCGUUGGUCCGGCGUACGAUGGCGCCUGAUGCGAUUUAUGCGUCCGGAAGCCCUUUCAGCCUCCAGGCAUGUCCCCACCUGCCUCACAGCCACCGACGCAUCUCACGGCGGGGUUCCAAUUGUGUGCGCGUAUGGAUGCUCCUUUCCCCGCCGCCUUUCCAGCAACUAGUUGAUGUUAUGAUGCAUCGUUGGUCCGGCGUACGAUGGCGCCUGGUGCGAUGUAUGCGUCCGGAAGCCCUUUCAGCCUCCAGGCAUGUCCCCACCUGCCUCACAGCCACCGACGCAUCUCACGGCGGGGUUCCAAUUGCGUGCGCGUAUGGAUGCUCCUUUCCCCGCCGCCUUUCUAGCAACUAGUUGAUGUUAUGAUGCAUCGUUCUUCCGGUGUACGACGGCGCCUGAUGCGAUUUAUGCGUCCGGAAGCCCUUUCAGCCUCCAGGCAUGUCCCCACCUGCCUCACAGCCACCGACGCAUCUCACGGCGGGGGUCUAAUUGCGUGCGCGUAUGGAUGCUCCUUUCCCCGCUGCCUUUCCAGCAACUAGUUGAUGUUAUGAUGCAUCGUUGGUCCGGCGUACGACGGCGCCUGAUGCGAUUUAUGCGUCCGGAAGCCCUUUCAGCCUCCAGGCAUGUCCCCACCUGCCUCACAGCCACCGACGCAUCUCACGGCGGGGGUCUAAUUGCGUGCGCGUAUGGAUGCUCCUUUCCCCGCCGCCUUUCUAGCAACUAGUUGAUGUUAUGAUGCAUCGUUGGUCCGGCGUACGACGGCGCCUGAUGCGAUUUAUGCGUCCGGAAGCCCUUUCAGCCUCCAGGCAUGUCCCCACCUGCCUCACAGCGACCGACGCAUCUCACGGCGGGGGUCUAAUUGCGUGCGCGUAUGGAUGCUCCUUUCGCCGCCGCCUUUCUAGCAACUAGUUGAUGUUAUGAUGCAUCGUUGGUCCGGCGUACGACGGCGCCUGAUGCGAUUUAUGCGUCCGGAAGCCCUUUCAGCCUCCAGGCAUGUCCCCACCUGCCUCACAGCCACCGACGCAUCUCACGGCGGGGGUCUAAUUGCGUGCGCGUAUGGAUGCUCCUUUCGCCGCCUUUCUAGCAACUAGUUGAUGUUAUGAUGCAUCGUUGGUCCGGCGUACGACGGCGCCUGAUGCGAUUUAUGCGUCCGGAAGCCCUUUCAGCCUCCAGGCAUGUCCCCACCUGCCUCACAGCCACCGACGCAUCUCACGGCGGGGGUCUAAUUGCGUGCACGUAUGGAUGCUCCUUUCGCCGCCGCCUUUCUAGCAACUAGUUGAUGUUAUGAUGCAUCGUUGGUCCGGCGUACGACGGCGCCUGAUGCGAUUUAUGCGUCCGGAAGCCCUUUCAGCCUCCAGGCAUGUCCCCACCUGCCUCACAGCGACCGACGAAUCUCACGGCGGGGGUCUAAUUGCGUGCGCGUAUGGAUGCUCCUUUCGCCGCCUUUCCAGCAACUAGUUGAUGUUAUGAUGCAUCGUUGGUCCGGCGUACGAUGGCGCCUGAUGCGAUUUAUGCGUCCGGAAGCCCUUUCAGCCUCCAGGCAUGUCCCCACCUGCCUCACAGCCACCGACGCAUCUCACGGCGGGGUUCCAAUUGCGUGCGCGUAUGGAUGCUCCUUUCGCCGCCGCCUUUCUAGCAACUAGUUGAUGUUAUGAUGCAUCGUUGGUCCGGCGUACGAUGGCGCCUGAUGCGAUGUAUGCGUCCGGAAGCCCUUUCAGCCUCCAGGCAUGUCCCCACCUGCCUCACAGCCACCGACGCAUCUCACGGCGGGGGUCUAAUUGCGUGCGCGUAUGGAUGCUCCUUUCGCCGCCUUUCCAGCAACUAG